UACGGGGGGGGCAAGCGUUGUUCGGAAUUACUGGGCGUAAAGGGCUCGUAGGUGGCCAACUAAGUCAGACGUGAAAUCCCUCGGCUUAACCGGGGAACUGCGUCUGAUACUGGAUGGCUUGAGUUUGGGAGAGGGACGCGGAAUUCCAGGUGUAGCGGUGAAAUGCGUAGAUAUCUGGAGGAACACCGGUGGCGAAGGCGGCGUUCUGGACUGCAACUGACACUGAGGAACGAAAGCCAGGGGAGCAAACGGG
RNAcentral lists this ribosomal RNA (253 nucleotides) under uncultured bacterium. RNAcentral's name for it is "partial 16S ribosomal RNA". It matches the Rfam family "Bacterial small subunit ribosomal RNA", at positions 524 to 776 of the family's 1533-position model. The record is from RNAcentral.